UAGCUUAAAUGGUAAAGAAUCUGCCUGCAAUGCAGGAGACCCAGGUUCAAUCCCUGG
Bos taurus (domestic cattle) is the source of this 57-nucleotide non-coding RNA. Lineage: Eukaryota; Metazoa; Chordata; Mammalia; Artiodactyla; Bovidae. The record is from Rfam.